GUUUUGAAAUUCAUUCACCCCAUUGGUCCGAGAGUCAAAGCCCGCCACCUCGUUCGCUGUGAAAAGGGAGUGUGGGAGGUCAGUCGGGUGUGGGUUCCGGAGCGCGCAGCGGUGUGCGCCGCCUGAAGAGACCUCGCCGUGGAGAAGCAGCAGCGCCGAGCCGAUGGAGCGGCCGUGUCUGCAGGCGCACGGAGAGCCUCGUGGCUGAGUUGCCCCUGCAACUCUCUUAAAAGAGCGAUCACUGAGGGUGUUGUUGAGCCUUCGGAGCAUACGGCGCCUUUUUGAAGGCGCCCGGCUCCCGGAUGGUCUCAGCACCCGAAGAGGCUCCGCGGGCGGGCUGGAGCAGGCAGCGGGCGCCGGCCGAAGGUCCAGAGCUUUGUGUGAGGCAGCAGCAGCAUCGCGGGAGGUGAAGCUGGAUGUCGGCGUUGGAGGUGACGUGUGCCCGGUGAGCCGUGAGCGCUAGCCAGAAGCCGUUGCUGUCGCUGAAGUCUGACUCGGUGGUGCCAGUCUAAGCCUCCAGGACGGGAGUAAAUAGAAGGGGAGCGUACGUACCUUUGCCACGGGAUGGGUUUCACGUGGGGCUCAUGCCCGUUGUUGCCGCUUCCUUUCCUUGGAGGGCUGAAAUUGCAGGAAAGGCCAGCUUGUCCAGCAUGGGAAAGGUUUCU
Long non-coding RNA from Hirundo rustica (Barn swallow), 665 nucleotides. RefSeq lists it as uncharacterized. Lineage: Eukaryota; Metazoa; Chordata; Aves; Passeriformes; Hirundinidae. The record is from RefSeq and is a predicted model, not a curated record. The transcript is spliced from 3 exons.